Long non-coding RNA from Dama dama (fallow deer), 1765 nucleotides. RefSeq lists it as uncharacterized. The record is from RefSeq and is a predicted model, not a curated record. The transcript has 2 exons. Lineage: Eukaryota; Metazoa; Chordata; Mammalia; Artiodactyla; Cervidae.
UUAUGAUAAAUGUUAGUUACAGGAUCAUGGGCAUAGGGAAACAAAGACCCAGGUUCUCACAGUUGCUCAAGUUGAAGCCAAGAUUAUAUCCAGGAGCUUAACUCAAAAAUCUGUGCUCUCAAUCACUGACAUUUCCUCACUGAAGUGAAAGUCACUCAAUCGUGUGACCCCAUUGACUAUACAGUCCAUGAAAUUCUCCAGGCCAGAAUACUGGAGUGGGUAGCCUAUUCCUUCUCCAGCAGGUCUUCCCGACCCAGGAAUCAAACCAGGGUCUCCUGCAUUGCAGGUGGAUUCUUCACCAACCGAGCUAUCAGGGAAGCCUCAGUGAAACAAGAAGCAAAUUAAAAAAAUCCUUACAUCCUCGUGCAUUAAAUGGGCAACACUCAGGGAUGAUUCACAAGAUGAAAAACACAGUUUAGUAAGUACACGGUAGGGUGGGGAAGAAGUACACCCAAUCAGAAGAUUUAUUAUGCAAAAUAUUUCAAAACACAAUGUAUGAUAAGGGCACAUGAUCGUUAGAAGAUAUUUAACAUAAAAACACUCAUGCUGGGACUUCCCCGGUGGUCCAGUGGUUGGGACCUUGCCUUCCGAUGCAGGAGGCAUAGGUUUGAUCCCUGGUCAGGGAGCUAAGAUCCCCAGAUGCCUCAAGGCCACAAAAACCAAAACAUAAAAAAAAAAGGAAGCAGAGGCAAUAUUGUAACAAACUCUAUAAAGACUUAAAAAUAGUCCACAUCAAAAAAACUUUUAAAAAAUUAAAAUGCUAAAUCAGAAGAGCACAAUAAUUGAAAAGCAUCACCACACCUGAAAUGUGCCAAUUAAAGCAAGACAAUCAGAAGGGAAAAAAUUAGAUAGGAAGUCAUUGGCAGCUACCCCCAUCCAAGUCUUUUCUCCACCUAAUAAAGAGAGAGCUCAGCUUGAGGACUGCAAAAAAUCCUCCUAAGGAACUUCUCUGGCACUCCAGUGGUUAGGACUCAGUGCUUCCACUGCAGGGGGCAUGGGUUCCAAGAUCCCAGAGGCUGCUGCUUGGCCAAAAAAAAUGACAAAAGCCUUAUGCCAGCCAUUAAAACUUGCAAUGUUCAGUGCUACAGAUUCGACCAAUGAUUGCCACUGACUUAAAAGACAAGACAGAGAAACAGGCUGGAUAGUUGGUACUCACCUCCCUCCAGCUAGGACCCAGUUGCAGCCUGUGGGUAUUUCACACAAAUGAAAUCUCCAAUAAGAAAAGUCCCCCACCAGCCUGUGCUCUGGGAUUGGCCCCUAGGCCCCGGGGUGAGGGCUGGACUUCCUGCCCAGGCUGAAAUGGCCCUCCUACUAACAGUGGCUGGUUCUCAAUCUUGAAAAUGCGACUCACAUUGCAAUCGCCCAGGUCCUGCCCUUGGUGAUCCUAAUUGAAUUGGUCCGGGGUGGGCUUUAGGAAGCCAGGAGGCUUCCAAAGCUCCUCAGGUGGCUUAGUAGUAAAGAAUCCACCUGCCAAUGGAGGAGCUGCAGGAGACCUGGUUCAAUCCCUGGGUCGGGAAGAUUCCCUGGAGAAGAAAAUGGCAACCCACUCCAGUAUUCUUGCGGGAAAUCCCAUGGACGGAGGAGCCUGACGAAGUCCGUGGGGCUGCAGAGUCAGACUUGACUUAGCGACUGAGCACAUGCAAGUUUCUUUCUGUUUUUUUGUUGUUGUUGUUGAUUUUUUUUCAUGAGUCAGGUUUUUUUUUUUUUUACCAGCUUUUGAAAACAUAAUUAACAAAUAGACAUUUUAUAUAUUUAAGGUGCACAA